This 421-nucleotide small RNA is filed under the name Bos taurus (domestic cattle). Lineage: Eukaryota; Metazoa; Chordata; Mammalia; Artiodactyla; Bovidae. The record is from RNAcentral.
AGGGAUGUUACUGUGUACACACGCAUGUGUGCACAUAGAGGUCCCUGCCAGUACGCUUGUGAGUAUGAGCUGUCAGAAAUGACAUGGCCAGGUGAUGGAAGUUGGAUAAUGAAAACAUGAAGGUCUUAGGGAAAGGUACAUAGACUCUGGCCAGCAGAAGGACUGAAGCCAGGGAAUCGAUUCCCAUUAUCUCACUGAGCAAACACACUCUAAAUGGAAUCACAGUGGUGCACCCUGGAUGCCUGGCAGAAAGGAGAGGCAGGGGGAAAGAGCCUAGAGAGUGGGCCGAGGAAAGGCCACUACACCUGCAGUUUAUGAAAAGUAGAAAAUGUACCUAAUGACCUGGAAGGAGAAACUGUAUCUUAUUUAUUGAGAUAUCUAGCCAAGGAGAAUUCCAGCCAAACAGCCAAAAGUGCUUCCU